CGAACGCUGGCGGCGUGCCUAAUACAUGCAAGUCGAACGCUUCUUUUCCCACCGGAGCUUGCUCCACCGGGAAAAGAGGAGUGGCGAACGGGUGAGUAACACGUGGGUAACCUGCCCAUCAGAAGGGGAUAACACUUGGAAACAGGUGCUAAUACCGUAUAACAAUCGAAACCGCAUGGUUUCGUUUUGAAAGGCGCUUUACGGUGCCGCUGAUGGAUGGACCCGCGGUGCAUUAGCUAGUUGGUGAGGUAACGGCUCACCAAGGCCACGAUGCAUAGCCGACCUGAGAGGGUGAUCGGCCACAUUGGGACUGAGACACGGCCCAAACUCCUACGGGAGGCAGCAGUAGGGAAUCUUCGGCAAUGGACGAAAGUCUGACCGAGCAACGCCGCGUGAGUGAAGAAGGUUUUCGGAUCGUAAAACUCUGUUGUUAGAGAAGAACAAGGGUGAGAGUAACUGUUCACCCCUUGACGGUAUCUAACCAGAAAGCCACGGCUAACUACGUGCCAGCCGCCGCGGUAAUU
This 524-nucleotide ribosomal RNA is filed under the name Enterococcus mundtii. Its description in RNAcentral is "bacterial SSU rRNA". It matches the Rfam family "Bacterial small subunit ribosomal RNA", at positions 30 to 525 of the family's 1533-position model. Lineage: Bacteria; Bacillati; Bacillota; Bacilli; Lactobacillales; Enterococcaceae. The record is from RNAcentral.